Long non-coding RNA from Heterocephalus glaber (naked mole-rat), 596 nucleotides. Lineage: Eukaryota; Metazoa; Chordata; Mammalia; Rodentia; Bathyergidae. The record is from Ensembl.
UCAGGAGCCAUUUUGGGGAGGGGUUUAUUACUUAAGACUGAGAUACUCGAGGAAUCAAAAAGUCACAGAACAACUUCACUUCAGGGUCUCUGGGUCACCAUACCACAGUGACUGGGUGGGAGCUGGCCACAAGACAGUCACAGAGAAGGUGCGGACUAGUGGCAGGUUACCUGAUUAGUUUAAGCAGCAAUGUGCUCAGAUUGUGAAGGACACCGCUGUCCCACUCUGUGGUGAGACACCAGCACAGAGCUCAGUGGACUGUUUGCUUCUCCAUCUGCUGACAUGAUGAGGGAUACGCCUCAGCUUGGACAGUUCCCACAUCCUGAGUAUACGAAGGGACCACUGGAGCAAAGGAGGCACCUCACAAGCCCACAGGCCACAAAGCCAAUUAGAGAAAGCAUGACUUGGUGCACACAGAAGGGCACAAACACUAGGAACUGCUAGAGUGACUGCAGCCUUGAGGCAGAGAACAUACCAUGGACUGUGACACUUAUUGGGAAAGGCAGGACAGGAUUCGGCAUUCACACAGCACAGAGUGGACUUGAAAACAAAAUAGGUCCCAGCCCUGAGGUUUGUGUCUAAACAGAGAAAGUGGC